This 342-nucleotide unclassified non-coding RNA is filed under the name Trechispora sp. RNAcentral's name for it is "partial contains 5.8S ribosomal RNA, internal transcribed spacer 2, and large subunit ribosomal RNA". The stretch from base 1 to 71 matches the Rfam family "5.8S ribosomal RNA", at positions 84 to 154 of the family's 154-position model. Lineage: Eukaryota; Fungi; Basidiomycota; Agaricomycetes; Trechisporales; Hydnodontaceae. The record is from RNAcentral.
GUGAAUCAUCGAAUCUUUGAACGCACCUUGCGCUCCUUGGUAUUCCGAGGAGCAUGCCUGUUUGAGUGUCUUGAAGUCAUCAACCCCUGCCGUUUCGUGCGGCUUGCGUGUUGGAGCUGGGGGCUUGCUGCCGAGAGGCGGCUCCCCUCAAAUGCGUCGGUUGGGCCUGCGGGUCGCACUCGAUUGGGCGUUGUACCAUCCUCGCUCUGAACGAGAAGUUCCCCUAUUAGCCGCCCCUCCACGACCUGCCUUCCAGAGUGGCGGUCAAACCAAAACUUUGAAAUCUGACCUCAAAUCAGGUAGGACUACCCGCUGAACUUAAGCAUAUCAAUAAGCGGAGGA